AUAAUAGAGGCGCGAAGCUCAUAAGUACCGUUUUGGAGGCCCUCAAAGGCCUGUGAUGAUGCGGGAAAGGGUGUUUUGCCGAAGCUGAGAUCCGUUUGAGAGGAUCGAAGCUGGGCGGCUGGAGAAUAUCCUGACGACUGUCGCAGAAAUGCGGAGUGCUAUUGU
This 165-nucleotide non-coding RNA is filed under the name bovine gut metagenome. RNAcentral describes it as "Lysine riboswitch". It matches the Rfam family "Lysine riboswitch aptamer". Rfam says of the family: Riboswitches are metabolite binding domains within certain messenger RNAs that serve as precision sensors for their corresponding targets. Allosteric rearrangement of mRNA structure is mediated by ligand binding, and this results in modulation of gene expression. The record is from RNAcentral.